UGCCCCGUUUGAUCAUGAUAAGGAAGAAGCAACAAAGUGAAACCUUAAUCUAUCUGGAGCAUGACAGUCAGCAGGCUAUUACAGGUAAUAAAAAGCAAAAUUCACAUUACCGCCUAAAACAUUAACAUCACUCAACUGAAUACUUCAUUGUUUUGGUAAAAUUUUUUAGGUAAAUUUAGUACUUAACUUUAAAUUAGUACUGCCUCUGCCUACUGUAGAGAUGAGAUGAUGAUCUUUUCUGAGUAAAUUAGCUCAUGCCUAUUUUUAAUUGUAGAUUUGAUUUUUCAGUGAUUUUAGAGUUACAAUCAUACAAGUAAUGAAGUUCCAUGAUCGUGCACUAAUGAAUAUGAUAACUUUGUUUUUUGGUCUGAGGAUAUGAAUAUCAAUAAUUCAAUAUGCACCUGCAUGCAAAUACACACAAAUAAUGAAAUUGAAAAUUUUCAAGUGGCACGUUUAUACAAACCAACAACGAAUCUUUUUAUGUUUCUAUUCAUUGCUGGUCUUCAUAUUCCAACAUCUAUCAAAUUUUGAUGGUUUUUUGUGCUUAUUAGAAUCUGUUUGCUUGGUGGAAUAAGGUUAUAAGCUUAUGUGCAUUGUGGUUCUUCCAAGAGCUUUAAUUUCAUAAAAGAACCUUUAAAAAAUUUAGUGUGAUUCCAUACAUAUAUAUAGUUGGUAGAAGUAGCAUGGCCGUUUGGAAGAAUCAAGUGUUCCGGUAUCAAUUCCUAGAGCAUUGUAUGUUCUUAGUUUCUUUGAUAGAUAUUAAUGACAAGUACAAAUUAUACUAGAAUACUUCUUUUUGUACAUUUGUUAAUGCAUCAUGUACCUUGAGUAAGCUACAAUUGCUUCAACAUUUUAAGCAAUACCAGUUUUUAAGUGAGUCAAAGCCAAUGUGACUUCCUGUCAAUAUUUUGUCUCAUACAAACCCUACACCAAUUUAACAGAGAAACCGAGUUAUACUGAUAUAACAUUAUUACAAGCAUGUUGCAGUUGAAAAAGGGUGAUAUAAUUAUACCAAAACAAUAGAGACUGACAUGGAGUUCUUAGACAUUAGGAGUGAGAAGAUGCUAUUUAUCUAAGUUAAGAAUAUCGUUUAGUGAUUACAAGGACAUUCAUAUAUUGCAUAGUUGAAAUUUCUUCCAUUGAAUUGCUACUUUGCUUUUGCGUUUUGGUACAGCUAACAUAUUUGAUGUUAUUUACAUAAUUAGACUGUCCCUGACAUAUUAAAGAAAUGGUCAUGAUCACUACUUCCUUUGAGACAAUUGAGGUUAAUGCUUAUUUUAACACCCAUCUCACAUAAACAUUAUAAAGAGCUGUCACAGAAACUUUUCCUAACACUUAAAACAAUUAUUAUUUUGCUGUACAUUCAUGUGCCUUUCUCUUGCAGGAAACUCUAGAAGUUGAGAACUUGAGAUGCUCAGGAAAAAGCUAACCUCUAAAGCUACUCUAAUGCCAUGAUCUGAUAUAAACUUGAUCAUGAGUUUUUGAACAAUUUGUUAUAUCAACUUUAAGCUGAGAUUACAUAUGUUGUACAUUCAUUGGUUGGUAACCAUUAUUUGCAUUAGGUUGCAUGAAUUACAUUGCUGAUCCAUUUUUGGUUUAGAAAAUCUAACAAAGUCAGAUUUGUUAUUAGACUUGAUUUCGACCCGUCUUAGUUUAGUUAUGUUCAGCAGUUUGAAUAUAAGUGGUCUUGAGUUGGAUAACAACAGCAAAUCCCGCGGCAAAGCGCGGGUUU
This 1732-nucleotide long non-coding RNA is filed under the name Fragaria vesca (wild strawberry). RNAcentral describes it as "long non-coding RNA (FVES_LNC001189)". The record is from RNAcentral. Lineage: Eukaryota; Viridiplantae; Streptophyta; Magnoliopsida; Rosales; Rosaceae.